This 68-nucleotide non-coding RNA is filed under the name Microbacterium sp. The record is from RNAcentral. Lineage: Bacteria; Bacillati; Actinomycetota; Actinomycetes; Micrococcales; Microbacteriaceae.
GAGCGGCCGGCAUACCCCGGCCCCGGACGAGGCAGGCCAGUACCCGGUGAGCGCAAAGACUGGUCCGA